RNAcentral lists this long non-coding RNA (224 nucleotides) under Lathyrus oleraceus (garden pea). Its description in RNAcentral is "Pisum sativum (pea) long non-coding RNA (PSAT_LNC026728)". The record is from RNAcentral. Lineage: Eukaryota; Viridiplantae; Streptophyta; Magnoliopsida; Fabales; Fabaceae.
CCUUCGGAUGGCUUGAAGAAGAUAGUGACAGUAGACACUGCCCCAUGACCUCUGUUAUCAGCCCUACCAAAUUGAACAUGGCCCUGAUCCAUCAAACCCUGGAUACCAGCCCGCAGUAGUUCACAACCGUUCUCAGCCUCUGCACAGCCCAGGCAAUCUCCAUCACAGCCCGGAUGAACACCACUAUUCAGCAGACGGUCUUUAACUACCAGCAAAGAAGUCUG